Molecule: ribosomal RNA, 583 nt
Filed under: Eulimnogammarus verrucosus
Lineage: Eukaryota; Metazoa; Arthropoda; Malacostraca; Amphipoda; Eulimnogammaridae
Description: SSU rRNA
Rfam family: Eukaryotic small subunit ribosomal RNA
Source: RNAcentral
UCAAAGAUUAAGCCAUGCAUGUCUAAGUCCAAGCUGUGUUCACACGGCGAGACCGCGGACGGCUCAUUAAAUCAGUCGUGGUCCAAAUGGGCCAGUGCAAAUCCUACUUGGAUAACUGUGGUAAUUCCAGAGCUAAUACAUGCAACUGAUAUCCCGAAGGCGGUGUUUGGGCUUGCUUGCCUUGCGCUGCGCUGCUCUGACGGAUGCUUUUAUUAGACCAAGCCGCUGAGGACUUGAGGGUUCGCGCUCUCUUGUCUGACUCGUGUGAUGGUGACUCUGGAUAACCAAAUUCUGACAAGCGCACGUACUUCUCUUCUGAGCGAGACGGCGCUGCCACUUUCGAGUGUCUGCCUUAUCAGCUAUCAACCGUUCGUUAUGCGCGACCGAUGGCUUUGACGGGUAACGGGGAAUCAGGGUUCGAUUCCGGAGAGGCAGCCUGAGAGACGGCUACCACGUCCAAGGACGGCAGCAGGCACGCAAAUUACCCAAUCCCAGCAAAUGGGGGAGGUAGUGACGAAAUCUAACGAUGCGGGCGCCCUUUCUGGGGCCCCGCAAUCGGAAUGGGCACUUUCUAAACAACCUG